RNAcentral lists this ribosomal RNA (485 nucleotides) under uncultured bacterium. RNAcentral's name for it is "bacterial SSU rRNA". It matches the Rfam family "Bacterial small subunit ribosomal RNA", at positions 36 to 518 of the family's 1533-position model. The record is from RNAcentral.
CUGGCGGCGUGCCUAACACAUGCAAGUCGAACGAAGCACUGUGGAAAGAGACUCGGUCAAUUGAAACUUGACUUAGUGGCGGACGGGUGAGUAAUGCAUGAGCAACCUGCCCUGGAGAGGGGGGACGAACAGCUGGAAACGGCUGCUAAUACCGCAUGAAGUCACCGGAAGGCAUCUUCUGGUGACCAAAGAUUUAUCGCUCUGGGAUGGGCUCAUGUCUGAUUAGUUAGUUGGCGGGGCAACGGCCCACCAAGACUUCGAUCAGUAGCCGGACUGAGAGGUUGAACGGCCACAUUGGGACUGAGAUACGGCCCAGACUCCUACGGGAGGCAGCAGUGGGGAAUAUUGGGCAAUGGGCGCAAGCCUGACCCAGCAACGCCGCGUGAAGGAAGAAGGCUUUCGGGUUGUAAACUUCUUUUAUCAGGGACGAAGAAAGUGACGGUACCUGAUGAAUAAGCCACGGCUAACUACGUGCCAGCAGCCGC